This 584-nucleotide ribosomal RNA is filed under the name uncultured bacterium. Its description in RNAcentral is "bacterial SSU rRNA". It matches the Rfam family "Bacterial small subunit ribosomal RNA", at positions 103 to 706 of the family's 1533-position model. The record is from RNAcentral.
CGGGUGAGUAACACGUGACUAACCUGCCUUCCAGUGGGGGAUAACCCCGGGAAACCGGGGCUAAUACCGCAUAACAUCGCGAGGUGAAAUUCCUUGUGAUCAAAGGAGCAAUUCGCUGGAAGAGGGGGUCGCGACUGAUUAGCUAGUUAGUGAGGUAACGGCUCACCAAGGCGAUGAUCAGUAGCCGGCCUGAGAGGGCGCACGGCCACACUGGAACUGAAACACGGUCCAGACUCCUACGGGAGGCAGCAGUGGGGAAUUUUGCGCAAUGGGGGAAACCCUGACGCAGCAACGCCGCGUGGAGGAUGAAGUCCCUUGGGACGUAAACUCCUUUCGAUCGGGACGAUUAUGACGGUACCGGAAGAAGAAGCCCCGGCUAACUUCGUGCCAGCAGCCGCGGUAAUACGAGGGGGGCGAGCGUUGUUCGGAAUUAUUGGGGCGUAAAGGGCGCGUAGCGGGGGGGUAAGUCACCUGGGAAACCUCUGGGCUUAACUCAAAGCCUGCAGGCGAAACUGCCGUGCUGGAGUGUGGGAGAGUGGAGUGGAAUUCCCGUGUAGCGUGAAAUGCGUAGAUAUCGGGAGGAC